RNAcentral lists this unclassified non-coding RNA (272 nucleotides) under Glomus sp. Its description in RNAcentral is "partial contains 5.8S ribosomal RNA and internal transcribed spacer 2". The stretch from base 1 to 65 matches the Rfam family "5.8S ribosomal RNA", at positions 84 to 154 of the family's 154-position model. Lineage: Eukaryota; Fungi; Glomeromycota; Glomeromycetes; Glomerales; Glomeraceae. The record is from RNAcentral.
GUGAAUCAUCGAAUUUUUGAACGCAAAUUGCACUCUCUUCGGAGAGUAUGCCUGUUUGAGUGUCAGCCUAUAAAAAUCGAUAUCGUUGCUGUUUCUCGGUGGUGUUCGUCGGAAAUUGGGUUAUCUUAAAUCCUUUUGCUUUCAGCGACUUAAAAUUUUCUUUUUGCUCUAUGAACGUUUCUAAGAUCUAUUUCUUUACACGUUUAAGGUAUCGAUUUUUACUAGCAGUUACCAUCAUAUUGGAUCGCGUCCAUAUUCUUUCAUUAACUGAC